GACGAACGCUGGCGGCGUGCCUAAUACAUGCAAGUUGAGCGCUGAAGGUUGGUACUUGUCCCAACUGGAUGAGCAGCGAACGGGUGAGUAACGCGUGGGGAAUCUGCCUUUGAGCGGGGGACAACAUUUGGAAACGAAUGCUAAUACCGCAUAAAAACUUUAAACACAAGUUUUAAGUUUGAAAGAUGCAAUUGCAUCACUCAAAGAUGAUCCCGCGUUGUAUUAGCUAGUUGGUGAGGUAAAGGCUCACCAAGGCGAUGAUACAUAGCCGACCUGAGAGGGUGAUCGGCCACAUUGGGACUGAGACACGGCCCAGACUCCUACGGGAGGCAGCAGUAGGGAAUCUUCGGCAAUGGACGAAAGUCUGACCGAGCAACGCCGCGUGAGUGAAGAAGGUUUUCGGAUCGUAAAACUCUGUUGGUAGAGAGGAACGUUGGUGAGAGUGGAAAGCUCAUCAAGUGACGGUAACUACACAGAAAGGGACGGCUAACUACGUG
Molecule: ribosomal RNA, 497 nt
Filed under: uncultured bacterium
Lineage: Bacteria
Description: partial 16S ribosomal RNA
Rfam family: Bacterial small subunit ribosomal RNA
Source: RNAcentral